UAGGGAAUCUUCCGCAAUGGACGAAAGUCUGACGGAGCGACGCCGCGUGAGCGAAGAAGGUCUUCGGAUCGUAAAGCUCUGUUGUUAGGGAAGAAGAAGUGCCGUUCGAACAGGGCGGCGCGGUGACGGUACCAUAGGAGGAAGCCCCGGCUAACUACGUGCCAGCAGCCGCGGUAAUACGUAGGGGGCGAGCGUUGUCCGGAAUUAUUGGGCGUAAAGCGCGCGCAGGCGGUUCCUUAAGUCUGAUGUGAAAUCUCGCGGCUCAACCGCGAGCGGCCAUUGGAAACUGGGGGACUUGAGUGCAGGAGAGGGGAGCGGAAUUCCACGUGUAGCGGUGAAAUGCGUAGAGAUGUGGAGGAACACCAGUGGCGAAGGCGGCUCUCUAGCCUGUAACUGACGCUGAGGCGCGAAAGCGUGGGGAGCGAACAGG
This 430-nucleotide ribosomal RNA is filed under the name bacterium. Its description in RNAcentral is "partial 16S ribosomal RNA". It matches the Rfam family "Bacterial small subunit ribosomal RNA", at positions 355 to 776 of the family's 1533-position model. The record is from RNAcentral.